ACGGAGGGGGCAAGCGUUAUUCGGAAUUACUGGGCGUAAAGCGCGCGCAGGCGGCAUGGCAAGUCGCAUGUGAAAGCCCUGGGCUCAACGCAGGGAGUGCAUGUGAUACUGACGGGCUUGAGGGCUGGAGAGGUGAGCGGAAUUCCCGGUGUAGUGGUAAAAUGCGUAGAUAUCAGGAGGAACACCAGCGGCGCAGGCGGCUCACUGGACCGUUUCUGACGCUCAGAUACGAAAGCGUGGGGAGCAAACAG
RNAcentral lists this ribosomal RNA (251 nucleotides) under uncultured prokaryote. RNAcentral's name for it is "partial 16S rRNA". It matches the Rfam family "Bacterial small subunit ribosomal RNA", at positions 525 to 775 of the family's 1533-position model. The record is from RNAcentral.